This 502-nucleotide ribosomal RNA is filed under the name uncultured bacterium. Its description in RNAcentral is "partial 16S ribosomal RNA". It matches the Rfam family "Bacterial small subunit ribosomal RNA", at positions 28 to 507 of the family's 1533-position model. The record is from RNAcentral.
GACGAACGCUGGCGGCGUGCUUAACACAUGCAAGUCGAACGGUAAAGGGGUGUUCUCUUGUUGGCCCUGGGUGGGUGGCGAACGGAAGAGUAACACGAUAUUAACCUUCCUCCUUCUUCUGCAUGAGCGCCUGAAAGUGUGGCUAAUUAGGGAUAUUCUGGGUCUGUCGUAUGAUGGGUAUUGUUACGGUUGGGCCUUUGGGUGUUGCUGGUGGGGGAUGGGCUCGCGUCCUAUCAGCUUGUUGGGGCGGCGAUGGCCUAGCAAGGCGGGGACGGGUAGCCGGGCUGAGAGGGUGGACGGUGAGAAUGGGACUGAGACACGGGCCAGACUGCUACGGGAGGCAGGAGUGGGGAAUGUUGCACAAAGGGCGCAAGCCUGAUGCAGCGACGCCGCGUGAGGGAUGGAGGCCUUCGGGUUGUAAACCUCUUUCGCGAGUGAAGCAGGCCUGCUCCUUGUGGGUGGGUUGACGGUAGCUGGAUAAGAAGCGCCGGCUAACUACGUG